UGGGGGAUAUUGCACAAUGGGGGAAACCCUGAUGCAGCGACGCCGCGUGAGUGAAGAAGUAUCUCGGUAUGUAAAGCUCUAUCAGCAGGAAAGAUAAUGACGGUACCUGACUAAGAAGCCCCGGCUAACUACGUGCCAGCAGCCGCGGUAAUACGUAGGGGGCAAGCGUUAUCCGGAUUUACUGGGUGCAAAGGGAGCGUAGACGGCGGUGCAAGCCAGAUGUGAAAGCCCGGGGCUCAACCCCGGGACUGCAUUUGGAACUGUGCUGCUAGAGUGUCGGAGAGGCAGGCGGAAUUCCUAGUGUAGCGGUGAAAUGCGUAGAUAUUAGGAGGAACACCAGUGGCGGAGGCGGAUUGCUGGACAGUAACUGACGCUGAGGCGCGAAAGCGUGGGGAGCAAACAGG
Molecule: ribosomal RNA, 404 nt
Filed under: uncultured bacterium
Lineage: Bacteria
Description: bacterial SSU rRNA
Rfam family: Bacterial small subunit ribosomal RNA
Source: RNAcentral